AUCCCUGCGUAGUACGUAAGAGCAUAAUUUUUAGAACCAACAAAUUUUAAGAGGGGCCGAUCUCAUAAAUAUGGCGUGCAUGCUCACAAUAUAGUGAGAAGCCCAUGAGUAUUUAGGUAGGCACCCACCUGUUUUUAGGAGCAGGUCCUUAAAAAUUAAAAAGCUGACGGCUAAGGCGGGGCUU
RNAcentral lists this non-coding RNA (184 nucleotides) under chicken gut metagenome. RNAcentral's name for it is "6S / SsrS RNA". It matches the Rfam family "6S / SsrS RNA". From Rfam's summary of the family: E. coli 6S RNA was the first non coding RNA to be sequenced, but its function was unknown until recently. It consists of 184 nucleotides that fold into an extended hairpin structure with a large single-stranded internal bulge. The record is from RNAcentral.